UACGUAGGGUGCAAGCGUUGUCCGGAAUUAUUGGGCGUAAAGAGCUCGUAGGCGGUUUGUCGCGUCUGCUGUGAAAACCCGAGGCUCAACCUCGGGCCUGCAGUGGGUACGGGCAGACUAGAGUGUGGUAGGGGAGAUCGGAAUUCCUGGUGGAGCGGUGAAAUGCGCAGAUAUCAGGAGGAACACCCGUAGCGAAGGCAGCACUCUGGGCCGGAACUGACGCUGAGGAGCGAAAGCGUGGGGAGCGAACAGG
Molecule: ribosomal RNA, 253 nt
Filed under: uncultured bacterium
Lineage: Bacteria
Description: partial 16S ribosomal RNA
Rfam family: Bacterial small subunit ribosomal RNA
Source: RNAcentral